This 72-nucleotide transfer RNA is filed under the name Camelus bactrianus (Bactrian camel). It matches the Rfam family "tRNA". From Rfam's summary of the family: Transfer RNA (tRNA) molecules are approximately 80 nucleotides in length. Lineage: Eukaryota; Metazoa; Chordata; Mammalia; Artiodactyla; Camelidae. RNAcentral also lists the same sequence under 2 other names. The record is from Rfam by way of RNAcentral.
GAAGGUAUAGCUCAGUGGUAGAGCAUGUGCUUAGCAGGCAUGAGGUCCUGGGUUCGAUCCCCAGUACCUCCA